RNAcentral lists this small nucleolar RNA (136 nucleotides) under Hucho hucho (huchen). Lineage: Eukaryota; Metazoa; Chordata; Actinopteri; Salmoniformes; Salmonidae. The record is from RNAcentral.
CUCCGCGAUGAGGAGUCUGAACGGGACGCAGUCGGUCACUGGGCUACAGGCACAUUCUGUGUCUCUGGGUUCAGUUCCCCACAGCACACGUAUUUUCAUUUUCAGUUGAAGACAUAAAUGCAUUUGUCUGAAGAGG